CUGAGGAUAAUUCAAAACGACUUUAGUGAUCCUUUAGUACCACCAGCAGGGAAACGCUUUUACUUGAGAGUAAAAAUAUUUCAGCUGUACAAUUUUAUUCUGACAAUCAUGUUCCCUUCAGGAUGAAUUGCAAUCCUUUUGGUGGUCCCCUCACUGUUCAUCUAGCUUCAUCAGCACUCAGGAAGUGAUUAUAGUACGACUGGGCAGGGUAACAGAACACAUUUUCACACCUUUAAAUCAAGACAAGUUACAAGGAAGAUUUCGAUCACUACUGCACAGGUAGACGAGAUGUUUUUGGCUUCGUUUUUGAAGCUUACAUCUGGAAAAUCUAUGAACGUUCUUUUACAUGAAAAUCCCGUAAUUCCAUAUGAUGCCUCUUAAAUCUCAACAGGAAGUGCAUUCAUGUUUGAGACCUUUUUCUGGUUUACAGGCUCAUGUUGCUGUGAAGAGAUUCAGGUUCACCUCAUGGGCCUCUGGACUCUGACCUUUGUCCUCCACGUCAGUAAAUCAGUGAGAGCUGUAUUAUUAAAAUGUUUCUGCCUUUUAAAAGGUGGGUUAUGGCUGCCUAUUUCAACAUAACCAAUGAAACUACAAAAGUGUAACUGAUAAUCUGCCUCAGCGCAUGUAUAAACCCACCCUUUCAGAGUCUUACUACAUGAAACACCAAUCACUCGUCGACCUCUGCUCCAUUUCGGAAAACAAAACCCCCAGUUGACCUUUUUUUGUCAUGGUAUUAACCUCCGUCUCAGUCCACAUAUUUACUCACGUGGGGUUUUGCUGGUUCGCUGCACCCACCAUCAUAUUACUUAAUGCUGUGCUUGGCCAUGACCUCCGCUGUGAGACGGGUCGAGUCUCUCUCUCACCGAGUUCACCUUUUACCCAGAAACCAGGAGGAAAAGCCUGAGGUGUGUGGGAAACGUGAAGGGAAAAGUGUAAACACGUGUGGAGACACAAAUUUUUCAUUUUUCUGAAUUGUGAGAAAUUAUUGUUGCCUCUUCUGUUUGUUUGUUUGCCUUUUUUCACCCCCAAAUUGUAUUCCAAGUGGUCGCCACAAGAUUUAAAAUGUCAAUACUUGUCAAUACUGCUACACUUGUAAAUACUGACAUUUUGACAGUUUGAUUCCAUCUGUUGAGACUCAUAAUCACAUUAUUUUUUAUUGAUUUUUAGACUGACGUUGCUGCUAGUUUAGGCUGAUGUUCCAUGUAAAGUUUAGGAAAAUGUUUUACACAUUAACAGCCAUUUGUCCACUUUUGAAACAGAGCAGCAAAGGUUGCCAGAUCAAAAACUCUCCGGUUGGGCAGAGUUUUGUUUGUUAAAUGGCUGGUGAAAGAUCUUCAAAUUAAGCUGACAAAAACUGUUCUGAAACAUCAUUUAGACAGUCAUGUUGAUGGAUUCUUUGGAGCUCUGUCUCUACUUUGAGUCUUGUCAUUUUUUCCCCUUUUUUCUUCCAAUUGAGCUUCUUGUUGUCUCAGGAUGCGCGUCAGUUUUUCCAUUGAGAAGAUUUAUUUGUCUGUGGCGCUACCUUCACUCUGUUUCUUGUAAAGGCUUUUUGACUUGCGACCAAACAGUAUCCUAACCAAAUAUGUGUUGUGUCUUGUUACGCUUUCUUCAGAGACGUGACAGAGACGAAGGAUUAAGCAACAGAGCAGAAAGAGCAGUUUCAGCUGUGUGAGUUUGUGCCAUUGCAUCCUCCUGCCAGCGUCUUUUUAUGGCUUAUGAUCAAUAACUGUGCUGCCUGCAUCUGAACAUGCAUUAAAAACCAACAUCCAUGAUAAAUCCUCCAGCAGGAGACGGGACCAGCAGACAUGUGGCUGUGGAUUACUUAAACAUCUCUCGUACUGCUGAAGCUCUUCAAAUCAUUGUUGUCUGCUCUGCCUGAUGCGUAUUGAUGAGGAAUCAAUCAGCUCCAUAGACACUCGUUUCAGCAUCCACUAUUAAUAAAAAAAUUCCAAGAUUAUCCCCCAAAUUAAAAAAGUUAAUCAUUAACAUAAAUAAUUAUUAGUUGCAUUCAAUGACUGCCUACACUUGCUCUUUUCAAGCCAAACAAGUAGCUUGUUUCCAUCAUUAAGGAGACCUUGAAACCAAAUCAAAUGUGUUUUAUGAUCUCUUCCUGUUUGGCCCGGCCUGGACGCUCCUCGAAGCCCGCAGAAAAGAAAACAUGUUUUGCUGCCAGCCUCUCUGGACUUCGAUUCGUACACUCGGAGCUGAUGGACAGGUAACCCGCUAUCUCCAUCCUGUCAGUACCACUCAGUGCUUGGCAGGGAAAUGACUUUACGAGUUUUUGUUCUGAUAAAGAGCUGCCGGUGCUUGGCCUCCAGGUUUGUUUUUCCGCUCCCCCUUCAGUCACUGUGUACAAAGGUUUACGCACAGUGACAGUGAAGUGAUGCUCACAGCGCGAACAACACAAGUCACAGCAGGCUCCAGUCGCAGCAGUAAAACAGACUUGGGGAGGAUGAGGGUGUGUGUGUUCACAUCUCUCGGCUCUGACCCAGUUUACUGUGGGUGCGACCCCCCUGGACCAGAAGUCAGGACGACCUGCAGGAAAGAAAGGCCUUUAAAUGUCACAGUGCGUCAAACUGACUGCUGCUUCCUCCAUCUGCACGGCCCAUCAGACAAGUGUCCUUGUGCAAACCGCUGCACGUCCAGCGUCGGUUGGCGUCAAGGCGACCGGCCGAUCCCCCUCAUUGUUCCAUCAGGUCAGCAGAAAGCCGAGCCUUCCUGCUCGACGACUCUGCAGAGAAAAAAAGCCAACGCUCUUGAGUGUUGCCAUUGUUCCUCUUCUGUUGUAGCAAGAAGAAAAUAAAGAUGAUGUGAGUACCAAUUAUCACUGCUGCUGUUUCAGAUU
Long non-coding RNA from Scatophagus argus, 2845 nucleotides. RefSeq lists it as uncharacterized. NCBI's taxonomy places the organism in Eukaryota, Metazoa, Chordata, Actinopteri, Scatophagidae. The transcript has 3 exons. The record is from RefSeq and is a predicted model, not a curated record.